RNAcentral lists this ribosomal RNA (503 nucleotides) under uncultured bacterium. Its description in RNAcentral is "bacterial SSU rRNA". It matches the Rfam family "Bacterial small subunit ribosomal RNA", at positions 28 to 524 of the family's 1533-position model. The record is from RNAcentral.
GAUGAACGCUAGCGGCAGGCUUAAUACAUGCAAGUCGUACGGGAUCCGAGGUAGCAAUACUUUGGUGAGAGUGGCGCACGGGUGCGUAACACGUAUGCAACCUACCUUUAACCGGGACACAACCCACCGAAAGGUGAGCUAAUAUCCCAUAACACUGCGAAGUGGCAUCACUUUGCAGUUAAAACUCCGGUGGUUAUUGAUGGGCAUGCGCGACAUUAGUUAGUUGGUGAGGUAACGGCCCACCAAGGCUACGAUGUCUAGGGGUUCUGAGAGGAUUAUCCCCCCACACUGGUACUGAGACACGGACCAGACUCCUACGGGAGGCAGCAGUAAGGAAUAUUGGUCAAUGGGCGCAAGCCUGAACCAGCCAUGCCGCGUGAAGGAUGACGGCCCUAUGGGUUGUAAACUUCUUUGUACGGGAAAAAACCAACCGGUCGUGUAUCGGUGCUGAUGGUACCGUAAGAAUAAGCAUCGGCUAACUCCGUGCCAGCAGCCGCGGUAAU